CAUCUCUUUUGAAGAUCGGACUGG
RNAcentral lists this non-coding RNA (24 nucleotides) under Cricetulus griseus (Chinese hamster). Lineage: Eukaryota; Metazoa; Chordata; Mammalia; Rodentia; Cricetidae. The record is from RNAcentral.